CUGGCGGCGUGCCUAAUACAUGCAAGUCGAGCGAACAGAAGGGAGCUUGCUCCCGGAUGUUAGCGGCGGACGGGUGAGUAACACGUGGGUAACCUGCCUGUAAGAACUGGGAUAACUCCGGGAAACCGGAGCUAAUACCGGAUAGUUCCUUGAACCGCAUGGUUCAAGGAUGAAAGACGGUUUCGGCUGUCACUUACAGAUGGACCCGCGGCGCAUUAGCUAGUUGGUGGGGUAAUGGCUCACCAAGGCGACGAUGCGUAGCCGACCUGAGAGGGUGAUCGGCCACACUGGGACUGAGACACGGCCCAGACUCCUACGGGAGGCAGCAGUAGGGAAUCUUCCGCAAUGGACCAAAGUCUGACGGAGCAACGCCGCGUGAGUGAUGAACGUUUUCGGAUCGUAAAGCUCUGUUGUUAGGGAAGAACAAGUGCGAGAGUAACUGCUCGCACCUU
RNAcentral lists this ribosomal RNA (452 nucleotides) under marine bacterium SIMO-IS189. RNAcentral describes it as "bacterial SSU rRNA". It matches the Rfam family "Bacterial small subunit ribosomal RNA", at positions 36 to 481 of the family's 1533-position model. The record is from RNAcentral. Lineage: Bacteria; Bacillati; Bacillota.